Molecule: ribosomal RNA, 435 nt
Filed under: uncultured bacterium
Lineage: Bacteria
Description: bacterial SSU rRNA
Rfam family: Bacterial small subunit ribosomal RNA
Source: RNAcentral
AACGCGAAGAACCUUACCUAAGCUUGACAUCUUCUGGACCGAUGCCUAAUCGCAUCUUUCCCUUCGGGGACUAGAAUGACAGGUGGUGCAUGGUUGUCGUCAGCUCGUGUCGUGAGAUGUUGGGUUAAGUCCCGCAACGAGCGCAACCCUUGCCUUUAGUUGCCAGCAUUAAGUUGGGCACUCUAGCGAGACCGCCGGUGAUAAACCGGAGGAAGGUGUGGAUGACGUCAAGUCAUCAUGCCCCUUACAUCCUGGGCUACACACGUACUACAAUGCUACGGACAAAGGGCAGCAAACUCGCGAGAGCUAGCAAAUCCCAUAAACCGUGGCUCAGUUCAGAUCGUAGGCUGCAACUCGCCUACGUGAAGGAGGAAUCGCUAGUAAUCGCAGGUCAGCAUACUGCGGUGAAUACGUUCCCGGGUCUUGUACACACCG